Molecule: microRNA precursor, 87 nt
Filed under: Podarcis lilfordi (Lilford's wall lizard)
Lineage: Eukaryota; Metazoa; Chordata; Lepidosauria; Squamata; Lacertidae
Source: RNAcentral
GUGUGUGUGUGUGUGUGUGUGUGUGUGUGUGUGUGUGUGUGUGUAUAUACAUAUACACAUACACACACACACACACCCUUCACCUGC